GACGAACGCUGGCGGCGUGCUUAACACAUGCAAGUCGAACGAAGUGGCGAACGGGUGAGUAACGCGUAAUCAACCUGCCCUUCAGAGGGGGACAACAGUUGGAAACGACUGCUAAUACCGCAUACUGAAGGAGGGGAUUGCGUCUGAUUAGCUAGUUGGAGGGGUAACGGCCCACCAAGGCGAUGAUCAGUAGCCGGUCUGAGAGGAUGAACGGCCACAUUGGGACUUAGACACGGCCCAGACCCCUACGGGAGGCAGCAGUGGGGAAUCUUCCGCAAUGGACGAAAGUCUGACGGAGCAACACCGCGUGAGUGAAGAAGGUUUUCGGAUCGUAAAGCUCUGUUGUUAGGGAAGCGGUAUCUUACCAGAAAGCGACGGCUAACUACGUGCCAGCAGCCGCGGUAAUUC
This 408-nucleotide ribosomal RNA is filed under the name uncultured bacterium. RNAcentral's name for it is "partial 16S ribosomal RNA". It matches the Rfam family "Bacterial small subunit ribosomal RNA", at positions 28 to 526 of the family's 1533-position model. The record is from RNAcentral.